RNAcentral lists this ribosomal RNA (496 nucleotides) under uncultured bacterium. RNAcentral describes it as "partial 16S ribosomal RNA". It matches the Rfam family "Bacterial small subunit ribosomal RNA", at positions 28 to 507 of the family's 1533-position model. The record is from RNAcentral.
GAUGAACGCUGGCGGCGUGCCUAAUACAUGCCAGUCGAGCGAACAGACGAGGAGCUUGCUCCUCUGACGUUAGCGGCGGACGGGUGAGUAACACGUGGAUAACCUACCUAUAAGACUGGGAUAACUUCGGGAAACCGGAGCUAAUACCGGAUAAUAUAUUGAACCGCAUGGUUCAAUAGUGAAAGACGGUUUUGCUGUCUCUUAUAGAUGGAUCCGCGCCGCAUUAGCUAGUUGGUAAGGUAACGGCUUACCAAGGCAACGAUGCGUAGCCGACCUGAGAGGGUGAUCGGCCACACUGGAACUGAGACACGGUCCAGACUCCUACGGGAGGCAGCAGUAGGGAAUCUUCCGCAAUGGGCGAAAGCUUGACGGAGCAACGCCGCGUGAGUGAUGAAGGUCUUCGGAUCGUAAACUCUGUUAUUAGGGAAGAACAAAUGUGUAAGUAACUAUGCACGUCUUGACGGUACCUAAUCAGAAAGCCACGGCUAACUACGUG